Molecule: unclassified non-coding RNA, 685 nt
Filed under: Bombus terrestris (buff-tailed bumblebee)
Lineage: Eukaryota; Metazoa; Arthropoda; Insecta; Hymenoptera; Apidae
Description: misc RNA ENSBTSG00005023149.1
Source: RNAcentral
CGCAAACGAAAGGAGAUUAGUCUAGGCAACGAGACGCACAGUGAUCGUCAAUUCAAACGAUACAUGGGCAGCAGCUUACCUCGUACAAGUCGUAGAAAAGACUAUAAUAUUUACAGACGUAUACUGUGUUUGACCCAUCCGCGAGUUUACCAGAUCGUUAAUCUGUAACUGCGUGUAAUCUUUAACUGUGUGCUUGUGCCACCGGCUCAUGUGUCCCCCCUUCUCGCGCCACUUUGGAAGUUGCUCGGCGAAACUAAGGUACAAGGAGUCAUUUAGUCGUCUCAUUUCGUACCGAUAACAUGGAUCACGUUGCGUCAGACAUACCACAGCUUGGACUUCUUUGUCUUGUUUGCGAAUGCUCCAACUGUGGCUCAAAAGCCAAGAAUAUUUUUAACAACCUCCAUUUCCACCAUUGGAUUUUCAACGGUUCCUGCCUGAUGUUAGUCUUUCUAAUGAUAUUUACUGUGAUAGUGUAGUAUCGAUGGCAACGUUUUCCGUUUCUCCGCUUCUAAUGGUGAGUCGCAUGCACUUUUGUCUCUCCUUUUUGUCACUCGAUCAUGUCAUAGGAUGAAAGGUCCGAAUCGGCACGAGUGACUGACUGGUCGUAUUAUGUAGAAUUUUUGCGAGCAUAUUGACCGCGGGUAUUUUUUAUACCCGUGAGUAGCAACAUUUCAUAUCUUUAUUU